Molecule: ribosomal RNA, 468 nt
Filed under: uncultured bacterium
Lineage: Bacteria
Description: partial 16S ribosomal RNA
Rfam family: Bacterial small subunit ribosomal RNA
Source: RNAcentral
GACGAACGCUGGCGGCGUGCUUAACACAUGCAAGUCGAACGGAAAGGCCCUGCUUUUGUGGGGUGCUCGAGUGGCGAACGGGUGAGUAACACGUGAGUAACCUGCCCUUGACUUUGGGAUAACUUCAGGAAACUGGGGCUAAUACCGGAUAGGAGCUCCUGCUGCAUGGUGGGGGUUGGAAAGUUUCGGCGGUUGGGGAUGGACUCGCGGCUUAUCAGCUUGUUGGUGGGGUAGUGGCUUACCAAGGCUUUGACGGGUAGCCGGCCUGAGAGGGUGACCGGCGACAUUGGGACUGAGAUACGGCGCAGACUCCUACAGGAGGCAGCGGUGGGGAAUAUUGCACAAUGGGCGGAAGCCUGAUGCAGCAACGCCGCGUGCGGGAUGACGGCCUUCGGGUUGUAAACCGCUUUCGCCUGUGACGAAGCGUGAGUGACGGUAAUGGGUAAAGAAGCACCGGCUAACUACGUG